AGACCCCUGCCCUGGGAAAUGGAGGAACAACAGGAUAGAAGCAGCCUGGGUCCCUGAAGGAACACACUGAGCAAAGCUAUACCACUGCCAGGAGUGACAGAUAAAAAAGAAACUCAUUUUUGUUUUUCAGCCACUGUAUUAUUGGUUCUUCGAAUUACCAACAUUUUGGUGUUUUCCCAAACUAAGCCAGUCAGAAAAAAAAAGGAUGGAAGAGGAAGAAGCUGAGAUAUGGGAUGAGGCACAAGCCCAAGGUGGGAUCUGGAUAUCUCCUGAGUUUUUACUUGCUUUAUUCAAUCUGGAGUCAUUCUUUUCAUCUAACAGGUUUUCCUAUGUGAGAAACAUGAAUUCCAGUGCAGGUGCUAAGGUGCAGAUUCUUAAGUGACACAGCCAAAAACUCUUAGUAGGUCUGAGCGGAUGGUCAAAGACAACACUUCUAAGAGUGGUUCAGAGAGCACAGGAUUUUAAACCACAAAAACCUAAAUCCACUUAAUAGGAAUAUGAUGUCGAUAGAGCUUUUUAAUCUUUUUAAGUCUCAGAUUUAACAUUUUUUAAGUGGAUAUAAAGACAGUACUUAUCUCAUCUGGUAGUUAUAAAGAUUAACUAAAGAAUUCAUGUUAAGCACCUAACAAGUUUCUGUCACAUAGUGUAAUUGCUCAAAAAGGUAUCAUCUUUAUCCUUAUUAUUUUAUCUUUAUUCAUGAGUAAAGCACUUCUAUAUAGUAAAAUAUUUUUCAAUCAUUUAAAAAAAGUUUUGAGUAUAUUGUGACUUGAAUUAUUUUAAGUUGAAGAUUAAGUUCUGAUCUGGUAAUGAUGAAUAAAGAUCAGACUUUAUGUUAUUUUUCUCUAUGUAA
Molecule: long non-coding RNA, 850 nt
Organism: Rhinopithecus roxellana (golden snub-nosed monkey)
Lineage: Eukaryota; Metazoa; Chordata; Mammalia; Primates; Cercopithecidae
Exons: 3
Source: RefSeq, a predicted model, not a curated record